UGUAUUCCAAAUUCCUUUGAGAACUGGAAAUUAAAAAAGGGUGUUACAACUCCAAAGGAUGUUACAACUUUAACCUCUCACAAAAAAAACAAACAGAAAAAUUCCAUAUCCACCAAUAAAGUCAACAAUAGAACAAUCAAGUGAUUCUUCAGAAAAUAUUCAUGUGCCUAUUACAUCAAGAAAAUUUAAUCGAAACACACCGUUGAAACAAUUAUAUUCAUCAAGGGAACACUUCCAGUCCAUUGCUGAGAAGCAAGCUAAUGCUGAAUUUAUACAUGCUGAAUGUGCUAAAAUUCAUGCAGAAGCAUGCAAAAUGAAUGUGGUUGCAAUGACAAAAAUUGCACAUGCUGUACAAAAAUUAUCAGAUACUGCUGCUGCACAGGUUGUUAACGAUAGUCAACGCAUACAAGUUUUCGAGAA
Long non-coding RNA from Cyphomyrmex costatus, 420 nucleotides. RefSeq lists it as uncharacterized. NCBI's taxonomy places the organism in Eukaryota, Metazoa, Arthropoda, Insecta, Hymenoptera, Formicidae. The record is from RefSeq and is a predicted model, not a curated record. The transcript is spliced from 3 exons.